This 497-nucleotide unclassified non-coding RNA is filed under the name Hevea brasiliensis (rubber tree). The record is from RNAcentral. Lineage: Eukaryota; Viridiplantae; Streptophyta; Magnoliopsida; Malpighiales; Euphorbiaceae.
AUCCAGCAGUGGUCACAGUUCAGGUUACAGUAGUUCUGAGUUUGGUUCAGGAUCUUUCUUGGCACCCUGCACGCAGUGUAGAAGAGAACAUUCAGGACCUUAGAUGAUGGGUUCAAGAGUAUGUUUUCGGUGUGGCCAGCAGGGUCACUUUGCUAGAGAAUGUUCCGUGUUCAGCGAGCUACAAAUGGGGUCACAGGGUUCUAUUGCAAAUGUUCCUCAUCAAUUGUAUCCUGGUGCUUCUAGCAUGGUAGACAGUCAGUUCAGUGGCCAACAAGAUCGAGGACAAGGACGACGUGGAUUUGGAGGUAGGUCAGGAGAUAUAAGUCAAUUUUAGGGUUCUACAAUGUAGGGUAGGGGUCAAGCUCGAAUUUUUACCUUGACCCACUAGGAUGCUCAAGGUUUCAAUGCAGAUGUGGCAGGUAUUCUACAAUGCUAUGCACUCAUUUGUCUCUCCCGUUUUUGCCAUGAGAUUAGGUAGGAACCCUACAACUUUAGAA